RNAcentral lists this non-coding RNA (173 nucleotides) under uncultured Symbiodinium. Lineage: Eukaryota; Dinophyceae; Suessiales; Symbiodiniaceae. The record is from RNAcentral.
CUUCAUUAUUGGCCUUGCUCAACUGCGAAUCCAGAAAACACGCUUUGAAGUGUGCCUCUGCCAAACAUCUGCUGGAAGAGGGCAUGGAAAGAGUGAGCCCCGUUCGGUUGGCGUUCUUGCAAACGCUCACGGCAUGACUUUGCUGCUGCAAAGAACCAAAACACCAGAACCAC